GAUGAACGCUGGCGGCGUGCUUAACACAUGCAAGUCGAACGGGAUCCAAGGGGUGCUUGCACUUUUUGGUGAGAGUGGCGAACGGGUGAGUAACACGUGAGUAACCUGUCCUUUUCUUUGGGAUAAGCAUUCGAAAGGGUGUUUAAUACCUUAUGUUCUGUCUGCCUCGCAUGGGGUGGGUGGGAAAGGCUUUGGCCGGAUUUGGGUGGGCUCGCGGUCUAUCAGCUUGUUGGUGGGGUGAUGGCUUACCAAGGCUUUGACGGGUAGCCGGCCUGAGAGGGUGGGCGGUCACAGUGGGACUGAGAGACGGCCCAGACUCCUGCGGGAGGCAGCAGUGGGGGAUAUUGCACAAUGGGCGAAAGCCUGAUGCAGCGACGCCGCGUGGGGGAUGAAGGCCGUCGGGUUGUAAACUUCUUUUGCUCUGAACAAGGCAUGCCAGUGGGUGUGUUGAGUGUAGGGGUUGAUUAGCGCCGGCUAACUACGU
Molecule: ribosomal RNA, 484 nt
Filed under: uncultured bacterium
Lineage: Bacteria
Description: partial 16S ribosomal RNA
Rfam family: Bacterial small subunit ribosomal RNA
Source: RNAcentral